This 503-nucleotide ribosomal RNA is filed under the name uncultured bacterium. RNAcentral's name for it is "partial 16S ribosomal RNA". It matches the Rfam family "Bacterial small subunit ribosomal RNA", at positions 30 to 523 of the family's 1533-position model. The record is from RNAcentral.
AUUGAACGCUGGCGGCAGGCUUAACACAUGCAAGUCGAGCGGGGUGAUGGUGCUUGCACUAUCACUUAGCGGCGGACGGGUGAGUAAUGCUUAGGAAUCUGCCUAUUAGUGGGGGACAACAUCUCGAAAGGGAUGCUAAUACCGCAUACGUCCUACGGGAGAAAGCAGGGGAUCACUUGUGACCUUGCGCUAAUAGAUGAGCCUAAGUCGGAUUAGCUAGUUGGCGGGGUAAAGGCCUACCAAGGCGACGAUCUGUAGCGGGUCUGAGAGGAUGAUCCGCCACACUGGGACUGAGGCACGGCCCAGACUCCUACGGGAGGCAGCAGUGGGGAAUAUUGGACAAUGGGGGGAACCCUGAUCCAGCCACGCCGCGUGUGUGAAGAAGGCCUUAUGGUUGUAAAGCACUUUAAGCGAGGAGGAGGCUCUUUUGGUUAAUACCCAAGAUGAGUGGACGUUACUCGCAGAAUAAGCACCGGCUAACUCUGUGCCAGCCGCCGCAGUAA